UGAGGAACCUGCCCAUCGGCGGGGGGAUAGCCGGCCCAACGGCCGGGUAAUACCGCGUACGUCCUUCGGGGGGCGAUCCCCUGAUGGAGAAAGCAGCAAUGCGCCGAUGGAGGGCCUCGCGUCCUAUCAGCUAGUUGGUGGGGUAAUGGCUCACCAAGGCGACGACGGGUAGCUGGUCUGAGAGGAUGGCCAGCCACAUUGGGACUGAGACACGGCCCAGACUCCGUACGGGGAGGNAG
RNAcentral lists this ribosomal RNA (239 nucleotides) under uncultured bacterium. RNAcentral's name for it is "partial 16S ribosomal RNA". It matches the Rfam family "Bacterial small subunit ribosomal RNA", at positions 118 to 351 of the family's 1533-position model. The record is from RNAcentral.